GGGUUCGAUUCCGGAGAGGGAGCCUGAGAAACGGCUACCACAUCCAAGGAAGGCAGCAGGCGCGCAAAUUACCCAAUCCCGACACGGGGAGGUAGUGACAAUAAAUAACAAUACGGGGCUCUUUCGGGUCUCGUAAUUGGAAUGAGUACAAUUUAAAUCCCUUAACGAGGAACAAUUGGAGGGCAAGUCUGGUGCCAGCAGCCGCGGUAAUUCCAGCUCCAAUAGCGUAUAUUAAAGUUGUUGCAGUUAAAAAGCUCGUAGUUGAAUUUCGGGAUUGACACAUCGGCCGUGCCUUAAGGGGUAUGAACUGGUGUAGUCAAUUUCUCACCUUCUGGAGAACCGCAAUGCCCUUAAUUGGGUGUCGCGGGGAACCAGGACCUUUACUUUGAAAAAAUUAGAGUGUUUAAAGCAGGCAUUUUGCUUGAAUACAUUAGCAUGGAAUAAUAAAAUAGGACGGCAUGAUUCUAUUUUGUUGGUUUCUAGGAUCACCGUAAUGAUUAAUAGGGAUAGUUGGGGGCAUUAGUAUUCAAUUGUCAGAGGUGAAAUUCUUGGAUUUAUUGAAGACUAACUACUGCGAAAGCAUUUGCCAAGGAUGUUUUCAUUAAUCAAGAACGAAAGUUAGGGGAUCGAAGACGAUCAGAUACCGUCGUAGUCUUAACCAUAAACUAUGCCGACUAGGAAUCAGACGAUGUUAAUUU
This 698-nucleotide ribosomal RNA is filed under the name uncultured Glomeromycotina. Its description in RNAcentral is "SSU rRNA". It matches the Rfam family "Eukaryotic small subunit ribosomal RNA", at positions 373 to 1069 of the family's 1831-position model. Lineage: Eukaryota; Fungi; Glomeromycota. The record is from RNAcentral.